UGACCACCCUUUAUAGGGUUAAGGCCAUACGGACAGCCGGGUCAAAUGCCGA
The submitters of this non-coding RNA (52 nucleotides) gave its source as unclassified sequences. The record is from Rfam.